AAUGCCUCUCCUUAAUCCUGAUACGGCAUGACGAGAUCUGGUUUGUCUCCAAAUAUGGUUUGUCCCAAAUGGCACCUUAUGGGCCCUGGUCAAAAGUAGUGGACUAUUUAGGUAAUAGGAUGUCAUUUGGGAAGCAGACACUGCUUCUGAUACCUUACAUCCUAACCCAUGGUAGCCAUGUUGUCUCUUUCCUAGAGAUAAAUGAGUGUAGAUAUAGCUAGCCAGAUCCAAGACAGGUGUUGCCGAGACGUAAUGCUCCUGUACAACUCCUCAGGRACAAACGGAGUACAUGAUUGUCAUGCUCGGGAACAUAAGCAAUGGAAGCCUUUCAGUCCGUUGACAUGCCUGCUUCAGGUGUGAGAAGUGGAGACCGGGUAGGAAAGAGGACGGUUGGUUCAGAGGGUCUGGGUAUAUCUGGACAUACACACACGUCCAGAGCAAGAGGACCAAGAGCCCGGAUCCAGCACCAGCACCAGAUGUGGGGYGUGAGAAGCGCAGGAUGCCCAACUGGGCUCUGACCUCCUCUGACUUCUUCGGCUGGGUGGAGGCUCUGCGUGAGCAUGCUGGUUAUGAGAAGAUUGAAGACCUGUCCAGAACCUUCUGGGCUCACUUCCCCUCCGCCAGCCGCCUGGGCAAUGAGCUGUCCGACCCUGACGAGGAGUGAGGAAC
Salvelinus sp. IW2-2015 is the source of this 669-nucleotide non-coding RNA. NCBI's taxonomy places the organism in Eukaryota, Metazoa, Chordata, Actinopteri, Salmoniformes, Salmonidae. The record is from RefSeq and is a predicted model, not a curated record.